AACCCCCUUGGAGGUACAAAUCCAGUUGGACUGGAAAUUAAAUUCUUUUAUUAUUGUUCCCAAAAAUAUUUACACUCUGGAAAGCAUUUUUAUGUUUUAUCAAAAGAUAAUUAUACAAACAGGAAAGGGGGAGUAUGUAGUUCCUGCUGUCAGUCCCCUUACAAGUAUACGCUCUCUGUCCUGUCACACAGAUCUGCUGCCUGUCCUGUCACACAGAUCUGCUGCCUGUCCCGUCACACAGAUCUGCUCUCUGUCCUGUCACACAGAUCUGCUGCCUGUCCUGUCACACAGAUCUGCUCUCUGUCCUGUCACACAGAUCUGCUGCCUGUCCUGUCACACAGAUCUGCUGUCUUGUCCCUCACACAGACCCGCUGCCUGUCCUGUCACACAGACCCGCUGCCUGUCCCCUUGCAAGUCUACAGGAUGUCGCAGUCGUGUUUCUGGCUGCCCUUGCCGGCGGCUGGCGUGAAGAACUCGGGCGUUCCCGCUGCUGCUCUUCCCAGUGCCCAUUUUCCCCAGCAGCACGAUCCGCAGCUCUCCUUGCCCUGCGGACGAGAGGCGCGGCGUCAUUCCCGCGCUGCCCUGUGCCACCCUGUCGAACCCCUCCCAGGAUAUUGCCCCGUUUUUAGAAAACAAACUUUCAAAAGUGUGGGAAUUCGCUCCCUGUGCUGGGUGAGAUCUGCCAGACGUUACUAUGGCCAGGAAGUCACCCAGUGGGUUUAUGGGUUUAUGGGAGUUGUAGUUCAAGACAUCUCCUAUUAACCCACUGGGUGACUCUCUGGCUGCCCAGCAUCUGUGUUAGCUAUCCGAUCCAGCUUCUGUUCCUGCCUCUCUGCGACUGAUUUAACCCACGUGCCCUGGCAGGAGGAGUAAACGUGUAGCUACAGCCAGCUCUGAAGAGUACUCGAUGAUUCGGGUCUGUGUCACUGGCACUGACUCGUGCUCCAUCGGAGUCACAGGAUCAGGUGCCCCCAGCUCUAGAAGUAGGGGUGCGCACCCCACAGCCGGGGACCCAGUGGGUUUGGCGUGGUAUUUACAGGACAGGGCUGGCUCGGCAAGACAGCACCAUGCCAGUCCGGUCCGGUGCAGGUCUUCGACGCAGCCGGCUGCUGAGUUACAGGACCGGAUUCAGGGAGCGCCCCGCUCCGACACGCCCCUGCGAAACAGGAGCGCUGGCUCACCGCAGCGGCAGGGCUCUGCCUGGCGGGCCGGCUGGCGGCGCCGAUCCUGUUCACACAAGUGCGGAUCUGCCCUGGGUUUGAUCCCUGUGGGAGAGGUGCCCCCCUGACUCUACCCCCCCCCCUCCCCACCUUCACAGCUCCGGAUGGGGGAGACCACGUGGCCACACAUUGUGUUUACACAUCGCGUGUGCUGAGACAGGAACAUUGGGGACCCCUUCCCACAGUGCCGUGUGAAGAGGCGGGUCUCCAGAGGGCAGCGGGGGUGUGGCUUGGAGCACAGGCCCCGCCCCCAGCCCUCUGGCGCUUGCUGUCUCAUUCUGACAUCACAGGAGCUGGAGGCGUCAUCACUGGGAAACUCCUGCUCUCUGUGCAGGGGGUUGGGAACGUUCGUCGGAAAACGUCCUCAGCCACUGCCCACCCACUGACGCCCUCCCCCACAGAGCAGCUGCACCUGUCUUGUGAGCUCCAGGUGUUUCUUGCCCAGACCAGCUCAAUCUGUGGGCAAGAGCCAGAGUCCGGGCUCUGUGUCACUCCAGACUGACACGGCUCUAAAACCUGUGGUCUAUCUGGGCAAUGUGCUGUGCACACCUCCUCCCCUCACACUGACCCUGCGUAGCUCUCGUCUCUCUCAGUGUCUCCUCCCUGUGCUGCCCUGCCCUGUGUCUCACAGCUCUGCUGGCAGGAUCCCAGCUGCUGUCUCCCACACGCCCAGCAGUCUGUGAUUCAGAGGACUCAGCGCAGGGCUGGUUCAGAGUCACAGCCUCCCGGGCUAGAGACACAGGGAUAUUCCCAGAGGGAAUUUAUGGAUUCUGCAGCCUGUCGCUGGAGAGAAAUGGCCUCUUCAGAUUGUUCUCUGGUUGCUAGUGACGAUGAACUCCUCCCCCUCCCGCUGUCCUGCAGGGGGAGGGGCUGUAUGACUGCUGGCACAGAAACACGCUCCCGGCUCCUGUUUUCCAUAAGGAGCUUCCCAAUGGGAAAGGGAGGCGAGGAAUGGUGAAGAGCAGCUCCUCCCCCUCUCCUACAGGAGCUGCACGAGGCUGAAGAGAACGGUGGCCACCCUCUGAACUGCAGGCUCUCCGUCUCCAGCGGAAAGCAGGCUGGACUCUCACCACACCCUUUCCGGUUUCUCCAUCGCUACAGCCCUGGAGACUCCAGGACAGCAGGGAGAAUCUGAGUCCUGCUCAGCAGCACACGGAGCCCGACCAGAACCGGGUCGGCGCGCGGCUCUGAACAGGCUGUGCCGCGUGUCAGCGGGCCUGACAGAGCAGCUCUUUGUUCUCAAUCCGCGCAGGAAAGAGGAAGCAGAGAGACACACAGGCAGGAGGAAACAGCCCUCAGAUCGCACUGCUGCCUCUCCAGGUGCUGCUGCAGCUCGUUCUGCCCCAGUCUGCCCCAGUCUGCCCCAGUCUGCCCCAGUCUGCCCCAGUCUGCCCCCUGGCUCUGCCCCCCCACCAGGCAGAGCAGCCUGGAGACCAUGAAGAAGAGGCCCUGUGCCCUGAACGUCUCACACCCUCUCUGCCCUGAACACAGACACUCUCCACCGCGACGCCACACUGCCUGAAUGAACAAGCCACGCCAGAGCACUGAACACAGCUGUGUGCAUCCAGACCCAACACUACAGCCAAUCUCUCAGCCUGGGCAGGACAGGGGCUCAGACUGCAGCCCCACUAAAGUCUACACCGUCUACAGGCUGGCUCGGAGCUCCUCAAUCUCAAGCAGAAGACCACUGACCUGCCAUAGUGCCUGCGGUGCUCCUGAGCCGGGGAGAGGGUGCUGUCCGUGUGGCGCAGGAGACGGGUGCUCAGUGCGUCUCGGCGCGCUCAGCCAGAGAGCAGGCAGGCAGAGCAGGUCCUGAGCGAAGGAUUGCGGUCUCCGAGAGGUUUCGGUUCUAGCCCUUGUUUAUCAGAAAGGGAGGCAGGUCCACAGGAGUCCGCCCUCUGACGUAGCUCUGUCCUCCCUCCCCCUGGACUAGUCUGCAGGCAAAUGAGCUCCUGGAUUGUGUAGACAGAGGUUGGUGAGCAGCGAGAAGAGAUGACGUGGCAGACGUCACGGGGAGGGACUGUCAGGCUGGUCUUCCUCUUUCUGUGCCAGGCUCACAGCUCCGCACACUGGCCCACACUGCCUCUCUGCCUCGCCUGCCAGUCCCUCAGCUCUAAUCAGGACCCCACACUGCCUCC
RNAcentral lists this long non-coding RNA (3358 nucleotides) under Lepisosteus oculatus (spotted gar). RNAcentral's name for it is "lncRNA (ENSLOCG00000022647.1)". Lineage: Eukaryota; Metazoa; Chordata; Actinopteri; Semionotiformes; Lepisosteidae. The record is from RNAcentral.